AGCCUCCUGAGUAGCUGGGACUACAGGCGCCCGCCACCGCGCCCGGCUAAUUUUUUGUAUUUUUAGUAGAGACAGGGUUUCACCAUGUUAGUCAAGAUGGUCUUGAUCUCCUGACCUCGUGAUCCACCCGCCUCGGCCUCCCAAAGUGCUGGGAUUUCAGGCGUGAGCCACCGCACCCGGCCUGCCCUGUUCUUAAAGUAAGAAACUGAUGUCUCUGGGAGCCCUGGUCAACUGGAAUUGGGGACUUGGUGCUGCUGGUUUGGUUGAGCUGCCGCUGCUAGGCCAUCUGAACCCACAGCAAGCUGAUGAUAGACUGCAGGAAAAGCUCCAUUCAGAUAGCAAGGGUCCUUCACCAGCCCCAUUCCACGACGCACUCAACGACCCUGCCUCCAAGGAUUGAAAGCCUCUAGCUCCACUCAGAAAGUGUGAUGAGAAAUCCAAAUCACACCAAAGUUGAGUUCUUUGUUGACAUUCCAGAGUCUGAGAAGGGAGCUUGCAUAGGACUGAGU
Molecule: long non-coding RNA, 509 nt
Filed under: Pan troglodytes (chimpanzee)
Lineage: Eukaryota; Metazoa; Chordata; Mammalia; Primates; Hominidae
Description: lncRNA (ENSPTRG00000054327.1)
Source: RNAcentral